CCUACGGGAGGCAGCAGUGAGGAAUAUUGGUCAAUGGACGAGAGUCUGAACCAGCCAAGUAGCGUGAAGGAUGACUGCCCUAUGGGUUGUAAACUUCUUUUAUAUGGGAAUAAAACGUUCCACGUGUGGGAUUUUGUAUGUACCAUAUGAAUAAGGAUCGGCUAACUCCGUGCCAGCAGCCGCGGUAAUACGGAGGAUCCGAGCGUUAUCCGGAUUUAUUGGGUUUAAAGGGAGCGUAGGUGGAUUGUUAAGUCAGUUGUGAAAGUUUGCGGCUCAACCGUAAAAUUGCAGUUGAAACUGGCAGUCUUGAGUACAGUAGAGGUGGGCGGAAGUCGUGGUGUAGCGGUGAAAUGCUUAGAUAUCACGAAGAACUCCGAUUGCGAAGGCAGUUCACUGGACUGCAACUGACACUGAGGCUCGAAAGUGUGGGUAUCAAACAGGAGUAGAUCCCCAGUAGUC
Molecule: ribosomal RNA, 459 nt
Filed under: uncultured bacterium
Lineage: Bacteria
Description: partial 16S ribosomal RNA
Rfam family: Bacterial small subunit ribosomal RNA
Source: RNAcentral